CAGCAGCCGCGGUAAUACGUAGGGUGCGAGCGUUAAUCGGAAUUACUGGGCGUAAAGCGUGCGCAGGCGGAUUGUUAAGCAAGAUGUGAAAUCCCCGGGCUUAACCUGGGAAUGGCAUUUUGAACUGGCAGUCUAGAGUGUGUCAGAGGGGGGUGGAAUUCCACGUGUAGCAGUGAAAUGCGUAGAUAUGUGGAGGAACACCAAUGGCGAAGGCAGCCCCUGGGAUAACACUGACGCUCAUGUACGAAAGCGUGGGUAGCAAACAGGAUUAGAUACCCUGGUAGUCCACGCCCUAAACGAUGUCAACUAGUUGUUGGGGGAGUGAAAUCCCUUAGUAACGAC
Molecule: ribosomal RNA, 342 nt
Filed under: uncultured bacterium
Lineage: Bacteria
Description: bacterial SSU rRNA
Rfam family: Bacterial small subunit ribosomal RNA
Source: RNAcentral